GGAGAGAUGUCAGAGCGGUUCAAUGUGCCUGUUUCGAAAACAGGUGUACUGUCAAAGGUACCGGGGGUUCGAAUCCCUCUCUCUCCG
This 87-nucleotide transfer RNA is filed under the name Mucilaginibacter sp. Its description in RNAcentral is "tRNA-Ser". It matches the Rfam family "tRNA". Rfam says of the family: Transfer RNA (tRNA) molecules are approximately 80 nucleotides in length. Their secondary structure includes four short double-helical elements and three loops (D, anti-codon, and T loops). Lineage: Bacteria; Pseudomonadati; Bacteroidota; Sphingobacteriia; Sphingobacteriales; Sphingobacteriaceae. The record is from RNAcentral.